This 1965-nucleotide long non-coding RNA is filed under the name Salmo salar (Atlantic salmon). Its description in RNAcentral is "lncRNA (ENSSSAG00000098710.1)". The record is from RNAcentral. Lineage: Eukaryota; Metazoa; Chordata; Actinopteri; Salmoniformes; Salmonidae.
AAGUUUGUGGUUUCCCCGGAACGUUCAGCGCUUUCAAAAUGGCGAAAACACCUGAGUGCAGAGGUAUAACAAAGGAGAAUAUAUUUUUCGUUGCUUCUCUUAACCUACCCCGAAACCACCAUAAUCAACAACAACAACAUCACCACCAUCUACCCUCAGCAGCGGUGCUCACCUUUAGCUAGAGGAAACAACACUGCACGCUUGGAGUACAAUUCAUUUUGAAAUCUCUCAGUGCUGUGAGUUCUCCUAAGAAGGUAAUUGAUCAGUAUCAAUGUUUCACUGUUAGUAAGAGGGGAGAUUCUAAACACAAGCACCUGAUAGGCCUGUACACUAAGGACGAGAACUUUAUCAUGAGAGCGAAGAAUGCAGAGGAGCAAGAGGAUAGGUACCUGGCUCUGAAUGACCUGAGUAUCUAGGAGAAAAAUCAGCACCAGGACACUGAGGAGUUGAAUUAUGGAUGCUGGACAAUCUCUCCUGGCACCAUCUUCAAACCAAGAACCUAACGGGGCUGUGUCUCUCUGCCAAGAGAUGCUGUCUGUCAACCUGCCUAUGAUGAAUGUCUUUCGCUGUGGUCACUCCCGAGUGCUUCUUCUUUAUUGAGGUGGGUCGCUCGAUCCUCUACUGGGCCCGCGGAGAUCUGGAUGCAGGUAGACUCAGGUGACCCUGUAGUGGCUCAGAACAUGCACAAGACAAUCCUGGUGGCCGUGAGAGCGCUGGCGGCCAUCCCUGAUUUCAGGCCGCGGAGCAAGAGUCAAUCAUUCCCAUCAAACCCCUGCGCUGUAGUCACCACGUGACGUCAUCAACAUGUCAACCUGCCACCCAGACGGACUGGGCUCCAGCGGUCCUCAGGGACUGAAACUGUUGUAAGCAAACUGUCCCCACAGAAAAGUGAAAGAGAUGAAGGCCACCGCCCUAACCAAACCUGUAGCCAAGGAGAGGGGACAGGUUAACAACUGAUCAGCCCUGCGACUGGCACCUUGGCUCUCUGUAAUGUCUGCAUCAAUAAAAUCCUUGAAGAGAGCCUCAGUCACGGUGCCUGCAUCUCCACCACCAUUCCCGCCAGUGUAUCCGGCAGCGGUGGCAAUGUCUCUGAUACACACCUCUGGCCCCUCCGUCUGUGGUUCUCCCAAUGAUAGAGGCUCUGUCUGGGCUGAGGAUUUGGGCUCCCAGCCUUUCAGUUCUCCAGCAGUAACACCUCUGACUCCCACUCAUUGAAGAGAACAGCCGGACUGACUACGUGGCCAUGGAUCUGAAGGUAAUGGCGAGAUCUUCGGUGUGGAAAAAGUCUACCCCUGAACAUUCCAGACAAUACCACCAAAUCACUUCAUGCGCUUCAAAAUGUGAAAAAUACCUCAUCCAAGCCCCCUUUCCUUCAUGUCUAUCACCAGAGUACACAUACACCCUCAGUGGCGGGCAGUUAUAUGCCAAUGACUCCUGGCCCAGGGCCUCAUGAUGCAGAUUAUAUCCCUUCAGAAGUCAAUGUGACUCCCACCCCUCCUCAAACACCUAGUGCUACCAUGUUCUCCUCAGACCAGGUGGGGCCCCAGGGCUACAUGAUGAUGCUUCCACAUAGCUGUUCACCAGCAAAGGAGAGCCUUAGUGAUGUCGAUCAUUCACUGUGAUGAAUACAUGGACGUGUCUCUUUGGAGCCCCAUGGAAGACCCAUACAUAUGGCUCACCCGAGGCUGUUAAAUCUUCUUAUUCCUCUCUACCAAGCUCCAACCAGCUCUCUACCAAGCUCCCCCCCCACACACACAGAGGAACUGUGAGCACGAUGACUAUGUCCUCGUGUGCCAUCCUGCAGAUAAUCACUACUCUGCAGUUGAAUGGAACGGUAGAAGCCCUCUCAGUAGCUCACCUUGUCGUACUUCUCAUCCAAACAGUGAUUUGUAUGUCGGAUGUCACCGGUUUAUCCUGCUUUUGAAUUGAUUUAAUACAGAACAAACCAGAUUGUGAAUACUCAGC